Molecule: ribosomal RNA, 460 nt
Filed under: uncultured bacterium
Lineage: Bacteria
Description: partial 16S ribosomal RNA
Rfam family: Bacterial small subunit ribosomal RNA
Source: RNAcentral
CCUACGGGGGGCAGCAGUGAGGAAUAUUGGUCAAUGGACGAGAGUCUGAACCAGCCAAGUAGCGUGAAGGAUGACUGCCCUAUGGGUUGUAAACUUCUUUUAUAUGGGAAUAAAACGUUCCAUGUGUGGGAUUUUGUAUGUACCAUAUGAAUAAGGAUCGGCUAACUCCGUGCCAGCAGCCGCGGUAAUACGGAGGAUCCGAGCGUUAUCCGGAUUUAUUGGGUUUAAAGGGAGCGUAGGUGGAUUGUUAAGUCAGUUGUGAAAGUUUGCGGCUCAACCGUAAAAUUGCAGUUGAAACUGGCAGUCUUGAGUACAGUAGAGGUGGGCGGAAUUCGUGGUGUAGCGGUGAAAUGCUUAGAUAUCACGAAGAACUCCGAUUGCGAAGGCAGUUCACUGGACUGCAACUGACACUGAGGCUCGAAAGUGUGGGUAUCAAACAGGAUUAGAUACCCCGGUAGUC